RNAcentral lists this long non-coding RNA (513 nucleotides) under Elaeis guineensis (African oil palm). Its description in RNAcentral is "long non-coding RNA (EGUI_LNC059807)". The record is from RNAcentral. Lineage: Eukaryota; Viridiplantae; Streptophyta; Magnoliopsida; Arecales; Arecaceae.
GAUUAUCCUGAUUAAGGUUUUGCUCAAUUGAAAUAUAGUGAUACAUUAAUACUUAUGAUCUGGUGGGGUCAAUCCCAUCUUGACUCACACAUCGAUUUCGUAAGUACUUGACUGUAUCUAAUAGCCUUCCAUCAUUGUAUUAGAAAUACAAGUAGUCUGGUACCAAAGUAUAGUGAGUUGUUUAUAAGUCACCGUGGUGAUCUUAGGUCGAAGAGACACUUGUGCCCAUAUCCUUCACAAGCUGCUCUUGAUAGCAGAACGCUCCACAGUUUGGUCACUGUUCAAUGAUGAUGUAUUCUUAUAUCUCACCUGUAUGCCAUACUAGUGUCUCCACACUUCUUGAUUAAGAGGACAACCAACCCAUAUGGCAUACAAUGACCUUCACUUGAUAAAUAUUAUCAUCUUUAUUAAUAACGUAUUAUUUGAUCACGAACAAGUUUAAGAGCUACUCGAUUAAUCCUCCUUUAUCGAUAAAAUAUGGUUCUAUGGACUUCAUUAUAACAUAGGAGUUCA